GAUGAACGCUGGCGGCGUGCCUAAUACAUGCAAGUCGAGCGAACAGACGAGGAGCUUGCUCCUUUUACGUUAGCGGCGGACGGGUGAGUAACACGUGGAUAACCUACCUAUAAGACUGGGAUAACUUCGGGAAACCGGAGCUAAUACCGGAUAACAUGUUGAACCGCAUGGUUCAACAGUGAAAGACGGUCUUGCUGUCACUUUUAGAUGGAUCCGCGCCGCAUUAGCUAGUUGGUAAGGUAACGGCUUACCAAGGCAACGAUGCGUAGCCGACCUGAGAGGGUGAUCGGCCACACUGGAACUGAGACACGGUCCAGACUCCUACGGGAGGCAGCAGUAGGGAAUCUUCCGCAAUGGGCGAAAGCCUGACGGAGCAACGCAGCGUGAGUGAAGAAGGUCUGCGGAUCGUAAAACUCUGUUAUUAGGGAAGAACAAAUGUGUAAGUAACUAUGCACGUCUUGACGGUACCUAAUCAGAAAGCCACGGCUAACUACGU
This 496-nucleotide ribosomal RNA is filed under the name uncultured bacterium. Its description in RNAcentral is "partial 16S ribosomal RNA". It matches the Rfam family "Bacterial small subunit ribosomal RNA", at positions 28 to 506 of the family's 1533-position model. The record is from RNAcentral.